This 588-nucleotide ribosomal RNA is filed under the name uncultured Caryophanaceae bacterium. RNAcentral's name for it is "bacterial SSU rRNA". It matches the Rfam family "Bacterial small subunit ribosomal RNA", at positions 338 to 918 of the family's 1533-position model. Lineage: Bacteria; Bacillati; Bacillota; Bacilli; Caryophanales; Caryophanaceae. The record is from RNAcentral.
CCUACGGGAGGCAGCAGUAGGGAAUCUUCCGCAAUGGACGCAAGUCUGACGGAGCAACGCCGCGUGAGUGACGAAGGUUUUCGGAUCGUAAAACUCUGUUGUGAGGGAAGAACACGUACCAGGUAACUACUGGUACCUUGACGGUACCUCACCAGAAAGCCACGGCUAACUACGUGCCAGCAGCCGCGGUAAUACGUAGGUGGCAAGCGUUGUCCGGAAUUAUUGGGCGUAAAGCGCGCGCAGGCGGUCCUUUAAGUCUGAUGUGAAAGCCCACGGCUCAACCGUGGAGGGUCAUUGGAAACUGGGGGACUUGAGUGCAGAAGAGGAAAGUGGAAUUCCAUGUGUAGCGGUGAAAUGCGUAGAGAUGUGGAGGAACACCAGUGGCGAAGGCGACUUUCUGGUCUGUAACUGACGCUGAGGCGCGAAAGCGUGGGGAGCAAACAGGAUUAGAUACCCUGGUAGUCCACGCCGUAAACGAUGAGUGCUAAGUGUUAGGGGGUUUCCGCCCCUUAGUGCUGCAGCUAACGCAUUAAGCACUCCGCCUGGGGAGUACGGCCGCAAGGCUGAAACUCAAAUGAAUUGACGGGG